Molecule: ribosomal RNA, 441 nt
Filed under: uncultured bacterium
Lineage: Bacteria
Description: bacterial SSU rRNA
Rfam family: Bacterial small subunit ribosomal RNA
Source: RNAcentral
UUGGGACUGAGACACGGCCCAAACUCCUACGGGAGGCAGCAGUGGGGAAUAUUGCACAAUGGGGGAAACCCUGAUGCAGCGACGCCGCGUGAGUGAUGAAGUAUUUCGGUAUGUAAAGCUCUAUCAGCAGGGAAGAUAAUGACGGUACCUGACUAAGAAGCACCGGCUAAAUACGUGCCAGCAGCCGCGGUAAUACGUAUGGUGCAAGCGUUAUCCGGAUUUACUGGGUGUAAAGGGUGCGUAGGUGGCAAGGCAAGUCUGAAGUGAAAAUCCGGGGCUCAACCCCGGAACUGCUUUGGAAACUGUUUAGCUGGAGUACAGGAGAGGUAAGUGGAAUUCCUAGUGUAGCGGUGAAAUGCGUAGAUAUUAGGAGGAACACCAGUGGCGAAGGCGACUUACUGGACUGCUACUGACACUGAGGCACGAAAGCGUGGGGAGCAA